UUUUUUUUUUUUGUUUCUUUCCUCUGGCGGCGCCGGCGGCCAGCGCAGCCAAGAGCAGCAGCGCCGGCCCACGCCGGCGCCGCACGAGCAGCAGCUCGGCGCUGCUGCAACGAGGCAGCAGCGCCUGGCUGCUGCCGCAGCAUGCUGCUGCAUUAUGCAGCAGCAGCCGCUGCUGCAGAUGCCGCCGGCGGGUGUGCCGCCGGCCAGAACUUGUACAAAAAAAAAUUUUUU
RNAcentral lists this small RNA (231 nucleotides) under Olea europaea subsp. europaea. Lineage: Eukaryota; Viridiplantae; Streptophyta; Magnoliopsida; Lamiales; Oleaceae. The record is from RNAcentral.